GAUUAUGGUUACAGCUAAUUGACCAAAUGGGAUGGCCUUCUAGCUCUACUACUGGACUGAAAUGAAUCAGACUGACUGCGGCAAAGGGUGCAGGUAACCCGGGAAGAGAUAGCGCCAUCGCAAAGUCCCCCGUGAAAACACCCAAGGAAUCACCAAGCCCGCCACCCGCCGUCCCGCACGCAGGGGCGGCUCGAAACGCAACUCCGGCCCCAUCCACGAAGAGACGCGCGGCGCCCCCAAGGUGCCCCUGGAGGAUCUGAUUCGUGCUAAUGCUGAAAGAACAUAGGUGAGUAUCCCUGGGUCAGAGGGAAAGAGAGGAAGAGGAUUCAAGUUAAGAAAAGAGAGCAAUUGUGAUAAACAGAGAAGAGGGAGCGAAAGAGAAUAAAAUAAAAUAAAAUAGUAAUAAUAAUAAUUUUAAAAAAAUUAAUAAAAAUAAUAAUAAUAAUAAAAUAAAAAUAGUAGUAAUUGAAUAAAACUAAGAGAUAAAUGAAUUUAAGUAAAUAGGAUGAUAAGAAAAAAAAUGUAAUAAUGAUAAAUAAAAAAAAAUAAAAAAAUAAAUAAAAGAUUUAAAAGAGAGAAAAAAAAUUAGAAGAGCACAGGAUAGAAAUAAUAGGGAAAAAGAGAAGAAAACACAGCGCCUGGGGAUUUUGGUGUAGAAGAAAUCCAAAAAAAAAAGGACCUUAUCAAAGGAACCAGAAUUUUUUUUUAUUUUGAGGAGAAGGUAAUUUCAGAGUACAAAAUCUGGAAGUACUAAAUCGCAUCUUUUGCCAACCAAUGAAAAUGAGCGGCCGUCAAACCACAAAACCCCCCGGUUGUGACGUCGCGCGAUUAAUCGACAAAUCAGCGUGCGGCGUCCAAUUUCGACCGCGGCCCUCUAACCCUUGGGUGAUUAGAAACGGCGCAUGGUGAAAUCCCGUCCGCAAGCCAACUGGCAAAUUAAAAGUUUGACGUCGCAUACAUAGUUAGUGAUACACGCAUAUGCAAGUAACAACACUGAUGUAAAGUUUAGGUGGAAUUAGAGUCGGAAACCUCCUCUGAUUCCACCUCUCGGAUCCGCGGUCUUAGCCUGUCGCAAGCCAGGAGAAAAUCGAUACAGGCUCGCCAGGUUAAACAAUUGUGGGUGAAGUCGCGGAGCGCCCUCGGCGUGUAACCGAGUUCCCUCCCCGCUAUAAAUAGUAGACGAGUUCUGAGUGAGUCCAGACUGUCACACUCGAGCAUGAUAUUCUCCAGAGUUUCCUCCUCUCCAGAGUCACAGAAAGGGCAGAUUGGAUCAUCAAUAAAUCCAAGUCUGUGAGCAAAGCUGUCUGUCCAUGUGUGUCCAGUCAGUAGGCCAAUCACGGCAUGGACACUAGGGAUGAUAUACGCAUGCUUUUUGUCCAAGAGACUCUUUGGGGAAAGACCAAAGCGGGUGAAGAUUGUGCGCUCGGCGGAGAUGAACCUGUCCUGCCAAGCUGCCCACGCCCGCAUGUAGAUUGUCGAUUUAAGUUUCGACAGCGGUGCGAGGCGAUAGCAGCUCGGGAGAUCAGAUUUCGCCCCGCGUUUCGCGAGCACAUCAGCAACCUCAUUACCAAAAAUCCCGCUGUGGCCUUUGAUCCAUUGUAUGGUACAUCUGUUCCCAUUGCGGUUCAGUUGCGAAAUCAGCAAAAAAGCCCUGUUGACCAGGAGGUUGCCUGUUCUGGAGUUUAGAACGGAUUUCACAACUGAGAGGUUAUCCAGGAGUAUUUCAAUAGUGCAAUUAUCGGGAAGCUUUGAGGCGUCCUCAAGUGCUUUAAUCAAGCCAAGUGCCUCCGCUUGGAAGACAGAACAGUACGGGGACAGGACAAAACUCUCACGCAAUUUAUUCAUGGAGCCAUUUGCAUACACUAUAUAUAGGCCUGUGCCAACUCCAGUUUUCGUCUUGGAACCAUCUGUGUAGUAGGUGACGUCAGCCGAAAGAUCAGGAAUAUUAAUGGGAGCGGAGUAAUAGGGAGGAUAGGGAAGUGGGUGAGAGAAGGGAGGAGGCUCGACUGGAAAUUCAGCGUCAACAAAACUGUGCUUUUUAAAGUACAAUUCCGCCUUUGCGCCGACAUCCAGAUCGAGGGAGAGAACACGGGAAAGAGAGAUGAGAGAGCUGUUGUCAGUUGUUUUAAACGCGCGGCAUGUCCUGAUGAGAAACGGGCGCUGCGCGCUUAAGAGAGUUUUUAAGGAGCGUUGUUUAAGAUUGGAAAACCACACAGGAGAAGCGUAAGAGAUGGCUGGAACCACGACCUGUAGAUAAAGCAUCCUCAGGGCACGGAACCCAAAGCCAAAAUUGGAGUUGGCAGCUGCUGUCAAACGCGGGAGAAAGCCGCGGACUCUGGUGCAAACCUCUUUCACGUGUUGGUGGAAGGUGAGACGCUGAUCAAACCUUACUCCCAGCACUUUGAUUGAGUCGCUCCAUUGGAUGGGUUGAUCGUUAAUGGUCAGAUCGCAGCUAGGCUUUAGUUGUCUGCCAGUACGUCUUAGAAGGAGCAUGGCCUGACACUUCCUCACGCUAAGUUCCAGUUUAUGCAGGCCACACCACCUCGUGAUCUCGUUAAUGGCAAGUUGCGCCGCUCCAAGUUGAUUUGCAACUUGGCCCGCCACCACCAUAACAAGAUUGUCGGCGUAGGCCUGCGGGUAAACACAUUUUUUAAAGUUGAGCGUGAGGAGCUCGCCAAAGACAAGGUUCCAAAGAAACGGCCCAAGGACUGGUUGGGCUUUACACAUCCUCUCAGCUCGCCACGAGAGCCUGGCCAGGAUAAGACGCUCUAGAAUUUUACCUAAGCCAGGCAGCAUCGUGAUGGGCCGAUGAGACGCGAGAAAGUCCUCACCACCUUUUUUGGGAAUGAGUAUUACAUCACCCAGUUUCCAAGGGGUUGGAAAAUGUCCAGUUUCAAAGCACCUAUUAAAAAUCUUUAAAAAGAACGUCGGAAAUUUUUUAAUUAAUUUAACAAUGACAAGAGGUGGCAUACCAUCACUGCCAGGAGCAGAGGUUAGGCGAACCUUACCCGCAGCCAGUAGCAGCUCUGUUUCUGAGAACGGAGGGUCGUUAUCAGAGCUGGACUGCACGGCUUUAUGCAAGUUAACAUGCUCUACUGUUGUAUCGGGCGGGACGCGGCCGAAGUAGUGCUUUAAAACGAAGUGUACUUCGCUAAAGUUGUUUACGUGUAUGUCGUUAUUGCUGUUAGAAGAGAGGGGUUCAAAAUUAACGUUAAACACGAGGCGUUUAUGGUCAGAUAAAGCCUGGUUGAUUGCAUUCCAAUCGGCGAUCCGGUCCGCGAGGCCAGCAGAACAACACUUGACGUCGAUGGAGGAGGACCUCUCGCCCUCCUCCCACGUGAUCGUGCCGUGUUUGUUGACAACGUGGAGCAAGUUAGCGUCAAGGAAGUUUUCGAUAUUUUCUCUUUUAGUGCAUUUGUAUUUAAGCAACCGCGCUUUAUUUGACCAUCUAUAGGAUUCAAUAUUAAAGUCGCCGCAAAAAAUCACCUCGUGGAAAUUAAUUGUUUUUAAAGAGUUGUCUAUCUUAUCAAGAAGAGCAUCGGAACAACGUGAUGGUGAAAGAUAAACAGUACACAGAAGGAUUGACAAGUCAUUCACUUCGCACAGGACAAAUACAGCAUUCACACAAGACAAGUGAGACAAGUGUAUGAAUUUUAAAUUCGGAUUUGCUAUUAUUACAGCCGCUCCCAAUUUAUUUUCGCUUAUUGGACCGUGUCAAACCCUGUCAAGGGGCACAAGUAAUGACGGUAAAUUGUUUUUGGAAACUGGGAGUUCUUGCAAUAAUAGCACAUCCGAUUUUUCCUCGCGACAUUCAUUCAACAAGGAGUACAAACAAUAUGGAGAGCGUCUUAAAUUGGCUUGAACACACUUGAGAACGUUCAUCUUACCAACAAUUUAUUGAAAUUAUCCUGUGCCUCCCGCAUGUGUUUACACGCCAUGGAGUUGGCACUGUGUUUGUCACCACACCUGUGACAUUUCAACACUGUUUUGUUUUCACAGGUUUCGGAAAGAUGUGCACCAGCGCAGUGGCUACAUUUAGCCGCCCUAGUGCACUUCCUUCCGUUGGUGUGGGUUUUGUGACUUAAACUGCCACAGACACCACAUGGGAAGACGCGCUUUGCUCUAGCGAGUCUCGGCGAGAGGAAGUCAAUCGUGAUUCUACCACGCUCGAGCAAUGCAGUCUCUACAUCCUUAUUUACUUCAACUAUCGCGGUGGAGAGGGCACCCUCUUUCUUAAUCAAUUUCACCAUCCUGAUGUUUUCGCCACUUUUCAGCAGCUUUUCGACAGCGGGAUGGCUACUAAUAUCAGCCACAAGCUGCUCCUCAGUUUUCUCUCCGGGAAUAACGAAGAUAGCAAGCCUGGGCUUGAAUGUGAGGUUUGUCUGGACUUUAAGUCCACCAAUAUUGGCGGACUUAACGUUGUCCACAAACCUCUUUUUUUUUCAGAGGGGUUGGUGAAGUGGAGGACAAGUUUUUUAUCCCCCCCUGUCACCGCAGCUACAUCACAAUUUUUUAGACUGGGAGUUUGGGCGAUUUUUGCCCUAAUCUCGCUAACAGUGAGGUCCGCGGAAGCGAGCUUCACGUGGUUGGUGCUGUUACGCAGCAUAUGCGCGUAACUGGGCUUAGUUGGUUUGGCAGGCUUAGCACCUGCAUUGGUUGGCUGGGUGACUUUUGUCACCACUGGGGUUGGUUUGGGAGAAGGUGUAGGAGCGACGGUUGUUUUUUUAGAGGCUGAUUGUUCAGCUCUGAUUUCUGCGACUUUGAGAUCGCAGCCCUUCAGCUUACUCUGAAGGAUGCUCACAACGGUGUUUUGGAGCUGGUAGAGCAGCCCAUCUAUUUUUAGGUGUAGAUCUUUGUUCUCUGUGGAACCUAGAUCCCCGCUGAGUCUUAGCCCUACCUCAUGUUGCAGUAUUUGGCGGCAACCUUUGAAGGACAUGUCGAUUUCAUCCCACCCUUCCCUAAAUGCCAUGUUGGAAGCAAUAGGUAUUACAGGAGAAGGAGUGACCCAGUGAGACUCACCAUUUUGGAGAGUUGGGGCAGAAGAAGAAGCGGAGGUAACCGCCGCGUUCAUGAGUUAUCCAAAGAGUUAUCCAAGAGUGUAGGUGUGCACAGGUUGGAGCCAGGGACGUGAGAGCUGAUGGGGGAUGAUGAUCUGAGGAUGAGCCUCAUAGCUCCUCGAUGACUUUCCUUAUAUACUGCGGCGGGCGGAUGCUAAUCACUCGCGGGGAUUACUGGGCCUUCAUAACGCAACUUUACAGGCUCUCCUCCAAUUAGGUUGGUUGUUCUCUUUCUUCUUGUUUAUACGGUCCUUGUUAUUUUGUUGAUAGUGUCCUUGUCUUGUUAAUUCGGUCAAGUUGUCUUGAGAAGUAGUCCGUGUUAUCUUGUUGAGAUAGUCUGCUGUUCUUAUUGAUAGUGUCCUUUUGUGUAUCGUUCUUAAGGAUAUUGUUGAUUCGUUUAAGAUAUAUUGUAGAGGUAGUCCGUGUCGUCUUGUUUUGACUAUCCGUGUUAUCUUGUUGAGAUGGUUCGUAAUUUAUUGUUUAGUUGGUCCGUGGUAUCAUUUUGAGAUGGUCCGUGCUGUCGAGACGGUCCGUGUUGUCUUGUUGAGAUGGUCCGUGCUGUCGAGACAGUCCGUGCUGUCCAGACGGUUCAUGCUGUCGAGACGGUCCGUGUUAUUCUGUUGAGAUGGUCCGUGUUAUCCGGUUGAGAUGGUCCGUGUUAUCUUGUUGAGAUGGUCCGUGUUAUCCUGUUGAAAUAAUCCGUGCUGUCGGGACGGCCCGUGUUAUCUUGUUGAGAUGGUCCGUGCUGUCGAUACGGCCCGUGUAAUCUUGUUGAGAAUUGUUGAGAUUAUGGCGCUAACUUUGCGACAUUUAAGGUGUCGAUAACAACCUUCUGAGCGCGCGGCGCUAUGCAAUAUAUAUAGGCUCUAUAUUCGUUCCCAUAAAAAUUAUUUUGAAAUACACACACACAUUAUAAAUAAUAUAUAAACCAAAAAUAUAUAUUCAUUGAAGUAGAUACUGUCAUUUUGAAUAACAGCCAGCCAUCUUUUUGCUAGGUUUUCAACUUGCUGACGAUCCAUUCUCGGGGUUUGGAGUCGAACACGACAGGCAAUUUCAACGUCUUUGAUUGUUUUUUUUUAUGUAGCCAUGGACCGAAAUAAUACAUAAUUAGAUGGCGUAAUAUCCGGGCUAUAAGCAGGAUGAAGUAUAACUUCAAUACCCUCCAUUCCCUUUAUUCUAUUGGUUGUUAACCUAGCUCGAUGAGCUGGAGCGUUGUCAUGUUGCAGGAGUACUCUCUUUUGGUUGAUCAAAGCAGGGUAUCGAGUCGUGAAGAUCUUGUGCAGCUGUGCAGCUUAUGCAGAGUUCGGUUUAUCGUAUCUUGGAUGGUCUAAGUCUGGCUGACAUUUCACGUGUAGAUUGUUGUGGGUUGUCCAUCACCGGAAAUCUAGAGUCUCAACUAUCCGUCACAUGUGGUCGCCUCAUUCGAGGUUUGUCCUCAAGGCUGAUGUAUUCUUCUCUAAAUCUCUUGAACCAUUUUGAAGCUGUUCUUAUAUUGACUAUUCCCUUCUCUUCCACUUCGCAUAUUUAUUUUGUCGCCAUAUUUUCAUGUAGCUCUUUUUUCCCCAAAAGAAGCGUAAUAGUACUCGGAUCGUUAUUUUUUGAUCACAUAUUAUUUAGCUCUCUAUUAGAAUACUGAAAUGUUAUUCUCCCGUCAAAAUAGUCAAUAAAACUAAGCGCCAUCUAUUAACCGUCUCCACAAACUAGCGGACUAAGGUCGGCGACAAAGCCACAACACCAGAUUUGGCAAACUGAGAAAGCGUUCACUUGGAGACCAUGGUUUGGGCUAAUGGCCCCGUCAAUAUCAAAGGUGGACUUUAUAUUUUAUGAGAGAGAGAGAGAGAGAUCUACAAGGAAUCAAAUGAAAUCUUCACAAUCUGCUAAAGAGGUUUUUAGCCAAAGCUGGAGUUGUGGCUUUGUCCUGACCUGAGUCCGUUAGUUUGCGGAUACAGUUUAGAGAUUGCACUUAGUUUUAGCUCCUAUUUUGACGGAAGAGCCUACCUUUAUUUUCAUAAGCAUAUAUAUAUUUUUAAUUAUCUAAAAAUAUAUAUAUAGAAGGAAGUUAAUGAAUUUUCAGCAAGAUUUGUGUGUGGUUUGUGUAAAGCGUGUGAACUAAGGAACAAAAAAUAAGUUAUUCGGUUAUAUAAAACAGGCAGACAGGUACGUACAUCCAGUCAGGUGUGUGAACUAAAGGGCGUUCAGUCAGGGAGAUAACGGUCGGUCCCUACUGACUCACCAUCGAUCCACUCGCCGUUU
Molecule: non-coding RNA, 7310 nt
Filed under: Cordylochernes scorpioides
Lineage: Eukaryota; Metazoa; Arthropoda; Arachnida; Pseudoscorpiones; Chernetidae
Source: RNAcentral